Molecule: non-coding RNA, 96 nt
Organism: Ataeniobius toweri
Lineage: Eukaryota; Metazoa; Chordata; Actinopteri; Cyprinodontiformes; Goodeidae
Source: the annotation of a GenBank genome assembly
UGGGAUGGUGGCUCAGUUGGUAGAGCGCGCACACCAUGUGAAGAGGCUAUUGUCCUCAACGUGGUUGUCCUGGGUUCGAUUCUCGGUCUCCAGCAA